UGUGUGUUAAAAAUUACAGUGAAGGGGACA
RNAcentral lists this non-coding RNA (30 nucleotides) under Mus musculus (house mouse). The record is from RNAcentral. Lineage: Eukaryota; Metazoa; Chordata; Mammalia; Rodentia; Muridae.